CCCUAGAGAAGAUGCUGGCAUCCUAGGCAGGGAGAGGGGCACCCCAGGGCAGGUGGGGGACACCCUAGAGCAGGUGGGGGCACCCCAGGGCAGGUGGGGGACACCCUAGGGCAGGUGGGGGCACCCCAGGGCAGAUGGGGGACACCCCAGGGCAGAUGGGGGACACCCCAGGGCAGAUGGGGGACACCCCAGGGCAGGCGGGGGCACUCUAGGGCAGGUGGGGGCACCCUAGGGCAGGUGGGGGACACCCUAGGGCAGGUGGGGGCACCCCAGGGUAGGCGGGGGCACUCUAGGGCAGGUGGGGGACACCCUAGGGCAGGUGGGGGCACCCCAGGGUAGGUGGGGGACACCCUAGGGCAGGUGGGGGCACCCCAGGGCAGGUGGGGGCACCCCAGGGUAGGUGGGGGGCACCCUAGGGCAGGUGGGAGCACCCCAG
Molecule: long non-coding RNA, 436 nt
Organism: Gopherus flavomarginatus (Mexican gopher tortoise)
Lineage: Eukaryota; Metazoa; Chordata; Testudines; Testudinidae
Exons: 4
Source: RefSeq, a predicted model, not a curated record